This 460-nucleotide ribosomal RNA is filed under the name uncultured bacterium. Its description in RNAcentral is "partial 16S ribosomal RNA". It matches the Rfam family "Bacterial small subunit ribosomal RNA", at positions 338 to 795 of the family's 1533-position model. The record is from RNAcentral.
CCUACGGGAGGCAGCAGUGAGGCAUAUUGGUCAAUGGACGAGAGUCUGAACCAGCCAAGUAGCGUGAAGGAUGACUGCCCUAUGGGUUGUAAACUUCUUUUAUAUGGGAAUAAAAUGUUCCACGUGUGGGAUUUUGUAUGUACCAUAUGCAUACGGAUCGGCUAACUCCGUGCCAGCAGCCGCGGUCAUACGGAGGCUCCGAGCGUUAUCCGGAUUUAUUGGGUUUAAAGGGAGCGUAGGUGGAUUGUUAAGUCAGUUGUGAAAGUUUGCGGCUCAACCGUAAAAUUGCAGUUGAAACUGGCAGUCUUGAGUACAGUAGAGGUGGGCGGAAUUCGUGGUGUAGCGGUGAAAUGCUUAGAUAUCACGAAGAACUCCGAUUGCGAAGGCAGUUCACUGGACUGCAACUGACACUGAGGCUCGAAAGUGUGGGUAUCAAACAGGAUUAGAUACCCUUGUAGUC